RNAcentral lists this transfer RNA (67 nucleotides) under Ctenochauliodes yangi. RNAcentral describes it as "tRNA-Ser". Lineage: Eukaryota; Metazoa; Arthropoda; Insecta; Megaloptera; Corydalidae. The record is from RNAcentral.
AAUUAAUGAACUUGAAUAAGUAUAUGUUUUGAAAACAUAAUAAAGAAGAUUAAUCUUCUAUUAAUUU